This 1156-nucleotide ribosomal RNA is filed under the name Phlegmacium borgsjoeense. RNAcentral describes it as "eukaryotic LSU rRNA". The record is from RNAcentral. Lineage: Eukaryota; Fungi; Basidiomycota; Agaricomycetes; Agaricales; Cortinariaceae.
GUCGUAACAAGGUUUCCGUAGGUGAACCUGCGGAAGGAUCAUUAUUGAAAAUAAAUCUGAUCAGUUGCUGCUGGUUCUCUAGGGAGCAUGUGCACACUUGUCAUCUUUAUAUCUCCACCCUGUGCACCUUUUGUAGACCCUGGAUGUCUAUGUUUCUUCAUAUACCCCAAUGUAUGUUGUAGAAUGUAAAUCAAUGGUGUAAACCUAUACAACUUUCAGCAACGGAUCUCUUGGCUCUCGCAUCGAUGAAGAACGCAGCGAAAUGCGAUAAGUAAUGUGAAUUGCAGAAUUCAGUGAAUCAUCGAAUCUUUGAACGCACCUUGCGCUCCUUGGUAUUCCGAGGAGCAUGCCUGUUUGAGUGUCAUUAAUAUAUCAACCUCUUUGUUGAGUGUUGGAUGUGGGGGUCUUUUUUUUUGCUGGUCCUUCUCAGGYUCAGCUCCCCUGAAAUACAUUAGCGGAACCAUCUGUUCAUUGGUGUGAUAACUAUCUACGCUAUUGCAGGUUCAGCUUCUAACAGUCCAUUUUUUAUUAAUGUGACCUCAAAUCAGGUAGGACUACCCGCUGAACUUAAGCAUAUCAAUAAGCGGAGGAAAAGAAACUAACGAGGAUUCCCCUAGUAACUGCGAGUGAAGCGGGAAAAGCUCAAAUUUAAAAUCUGUCAGUCUUUGGCUGGCCGAGUUGUAAUCUAGAGAAGUGUUAUCCGCGCUGGACCGUGUACAAGUCUCCUGGAAUGGAGCGUCAUAGAGGGUGAGAAUCCCGUCUUUGACACGGACUGCCAGGGCUUUUUGUGAUGCGCUCUCAAAGAGUCGAGUUGUUUGGGAAUGCAGCUCAAAAUGGGUGGUAAAUUCCAUCUAAAGCUAAAUAUUGGCGAGAGACCGAUAGCGAACAAGUACCGUGAGGGAAAGAUGAAAAGAACUUUGGAAAGAGAGUUAAACAGUACGUGAAAUUGCUGAAAGGGAAACGCUUGAAGUCAGUCGCGUUGUCCAGGGAUCAACCUUGCUUUUGCUCGGUGUACUUUCUGGUUGGACGGGUCAGCAUCAAUUUUGACUGUUGGAAAAAGAUCAAGGGAAUGUGGCAUCUUUGGAUGUGUUAUAGCCCUUGGUUGCAUACAAUGGUUGGGAUUGAGGAACUCAGCACGCCGCAAGGCCGGGUAGUU